UCCUGUACCCAACACGGCCCGUCGAAUAAUCAGGCUUAAGGCAACCCAACGCGGGUUGCGGCCGAGUAAACACAACCACCGGAUGUUUUUUGCUUGCUUAACUUGUAGAGGCUGGUGGGAACUUCUGCAAUCUUUCAUCCAGUUUUGGCAAGGUUCCAUUAGGUUUUUUCUAUUUCUUUUUUCUGUGUUGGUCAUCAUUUUUUCUGAUUUUUUGUUUUCUUUUUUAUUUUCUUAGUUCAUUUUUUUAAAUUAUGGAAAUUUUAUGAAUUCAGGUUUUCCUAAUUGAUAACAUUUAUUGAACGCACAAAGUUUUUCUGAAAUCUAAUCCAUGAACAUUUUAUGCAUUCACCAACAAUUUUCAUAAUUCAAGAACACUUUUCAUUAAAAUUGGACCUUUUCAAAUUUGUGGACAUUCUUUUAAUUCCUGAAGAAAAAAUUCUGAUUUUUUAAAAUUCAUGAUAAUCCAUUACUAUUUUUCCAAAUUUGUGGCCACCUUUUGGAUUCAUGAUUUUUUUUCAAUUUUGUGGUCUUCUUUUAAAUUCAUGAAUACUUUAAUAUUGACUAAAAAAUUCUCAAAUUUGUAAAAUUUUAAAUAUUUUUGAACAUAUUUUAAAUUCAUGGUAGUUUUUUAAUCAGGGAAAAACUUUUUUAAUUGAGGACCAUGAUCUUGAAAUUCAUGAAUAUUUAUCAAUUCGUGAACAUUUUGUAAGAUUAUGAUAUUUUCCGAAUUCAUAAGUUUUUAAUUUAGAUAGAAAGGAUGGAAAAUACUGUGUGCUCGCGUGCUUAGUGCAGGCUCGCACGUAGGGCCUGGAAUUUAUUGAUACAUAGCAUUUCUCCAAAACAUCACCUUUUAAGAUAGUUGGGCAGCAGCAGUACUAUUUUGGACGGUUUUCUUCUAUUCUCUAGACGUGUUUCUUCUAUUCUCUUUUGUUCUCAAUUUAAUUUCCCUUUUAUUUUUAUUUUAUAUUUCCCCUUUUUGUAAUUUCCACGCUCUUGUAAUUUAUAGAUAUUUACAAAAUUUGCAAACAUUUUCUAGAAAACAGACAUAUUUUAAAAAUAUAUAACAUCGUGCUAGAAGUAGACGCAUCCAGUGCUCUUUUUCUUGUUAUUUACCUUCUUCUUCUUUUUUGCUUUAAUUGCAAGCUACAACCUUCCAGAUCUGAAGAAACCUCCUGCUAGAGCAAUAAUCUACGAAUAAUUUGCAUAUAUGUGUGCACACAUGUACAUAAAUGUGGCCUAGCACAAUCUCUGCAUGAUUAGUACUACUGACUACAUACACGUACAUCUCACUUGUUUCUUAUACAUUUAUUUCAUUCAAUAUUCAGAUGGAUAUAGCAUCUGCCCAUUACACUGUCAAGCGACGCCGAGUCUUAGGUGUUCUAGCUGUUAUGUUGGCCAUUUUCCGAUGGCGUCGACGACGUAGAAAUUACAGUAUUAGAAUGUCUCGAAGAAAAUAUGGGCCAUUGGUGGAUAGACUUGGAGAGGCAAAGAAAGUUGAAUGACCUGUACAAUUCAACAGAUAAAAACUGCAUCAGUCAGCUCCGGAUGAGGAAAGAUGUGUUUUGGAAGCUAUCAGCCCAUUUACGUGAUGCCAAACUUGUACGUGAUUCAGUGCAUGUAUCAGUUGAAGAAAAAUUAGCCAUUUUCCUGCAUACGGUUGGCCACAAUUUGAGAAAUAGAGUGGUCGGGUUUUUCCUCACGAGAUCUAGCUAUACAGUAAGCAAAUGCUUCCAUGAGGUCUUGAAUGCCUUGUGUUUUCUUGCCAAAGAUAUGAUAAAGCUUAGGUCGAUAGAGACCCACCAAAAGAUACUUGAUAGCCCCGGUCGGUUCUACCCUACUUUAAGGACUGCAUUGGGGCACUUGAUGGAACCCACAUCCCUGCAUUUGUCCCUGAGAACAUAGCUAACAGAUUUCGAGGUCGGAAGUCAUACCCAACCCAAAAUGUCCUUGCAGUUGUGGACUUUGAUUUGAGGUUUACCUAUGUACUUGCUGGGUGGGAGGGAUCUACUCAUGACUCUGAAGUUCUGAAGGCUGCCCUUAACAGAACAAAUGGGAUUCCAAUGCCAGAAGGCAAAUAUUACUUAGCUGAUGCUGGGUAUGCAGCAAGACCUGGUAUACUGCCGCCAUAUAGAGGUGUCCGAUACCACUUGAAGGAAUUCGGGGCUGGGAGACGUCCACAAACGCCACAAGAAUUAUUCAACCUUCGACAUUCAUCCCUUCGUACAACCGUUGAGCGAGCUUUUGGGACCUUAAAGAAUCGUUUUAAAAUCCUUGCAAACAAGCCAUUCUUUCCAUUUAGAAAACAAGUGAAGAUUGUCAUAGCAUGUUGUGUUCUACAAAAUUGGAUCCUAGAUAAUGGUCCAGACAACAUCAUAUAUGAUGAAGAUCGUUGGUACAAUAGUCUGCCUAGGUCAUCUAGAGUUGCAACAGAUAAUGCGAGGGACAAUAGGCAAUGGACGGCAAAGCGAGACAAUCUAGCAAAUAUUAUGUGGGAGCACCGUCAAUUCCAUCAUUGAUAUUCCCUUUGCUGUAGUUUGUUUUACUUUUGGCUUGUUUGCAAGACAAUAAUUUUCUAUUAUGUGUGCCAGUAUCUUGUACUUGAUUUGGUUCAGCGAAUCUAUAUUAUGGAUGUUGCUAUCAUGUAAUGGAUCUGGUUGUUUUUAUUAUGGAUGCUAUCAUUAUUUCCUUGUUUUGUCAUUACUAUUUUUGUCAUGUAUCAUCUUGUAGUUCAUAAAAUGGAUGAAGCUGAAAGAAAUAUGAGCAGUAAGGGGAAAGAAUGCAAAGGUGACAAGAAUGCAAGGGCAAAAGCUAUAAAUUGGCCUAUAGCUAUAUCUGAGUUUCUUCUUGACUGGUACAUUGAGAAGAAGAUUGAAAUGCCUCCUAAAGCAGUAUUCAAGAAGAUGCAUCACAAUGCUUGCACAUCAGCAAUAAAUGAGAAGUAUGGGUGUUCUUAUAGUGUCGAGCAAGUUCAUUGUCACUUUAGGUGUCAUAAGGAGACAUGGGGGCAAGUGGCUAGGUACAGCAAUGAGAGUGGUAGCGGUUUUGAUGAUGUCAACAAACAAGUGCUGCUCUCUCAAUCUACUCUGGAUACACUAUCGGUAAUGAUCUCAUAUACAUUAUUUAUUUAUUGAGUGUUUAACUAUCGAUGUGGAAAUAACAAAAAAUAAUCUUGUAGGCCAAUGAUCGUGGAAUUCUGUGAAAACCGAUUCAGUUCUACGACAAGUUGAAAGAACUAUUUAGUGGUUCCUCAGCCGAUGGCUCUUUUAUGCAAGACCCUUUCUCUGCAGCUGAAACUGACAAUGAUGAUAAGGCAAAAGAUGACAUGAUGAAUGAUAUGUCCACCUAUGAUGAAGCAAAGGGUCCAACAGGUCAUGACUCAGAUAAAUUAGAUACAGAUAGUGAUGAUUGUGAAGCGGUGGCUGCUCUUGCUGCAACUAAUAGUCAAGUUUCAUCAUCCAAUGUUGGUGCUCUAAAGCCUAACAAGAAAAGUUUCAAAAAAACUACCAAGGCAAAUACUCUCCCACCACCACAAAAUGAUAAAGCUAAAAAGUCAAAGGCGAGAUCAUCUCAAGCAUCACAGGAUGACACUGAUAUGGAUGUGCUGCUCACAAGUACCUUGAUAGGCAUACGAGAGACCCUUGCAAGUCCAGUACAGACUGUAGCCCCAAAGGACCCAAAUGCUCCUUUAUGGGACAUGCUCAAGAAGAUUCCAUUGCCACCUGAUGAGAGGAUGUCGGUCAGGAUGCAUCUAUGCAAGCCAGAAUUUGCAGUUCAUCGUGGUUUCCUUGUCAGCAUGGGUCGGGAAUGCCUGGAGCGUUGGGUGUACACAUACUUAUCCGACAAUGAUCCUACUGGCAAACGUGGUGGCGAUGGUCCUGCUGGUAACCUUGGCGACGAUGGUCCGGCUGGUGACCUUGGUGAUGAUGCUGCAGUUAACUCCAGUACUUUCUAAGUAAGAUUGAUUGGUGGUCAACCAUUUUGCUGGAGCCUUUUGGUUGCAAAACACUAGUUUCUUAGUAGUUGAUUGUCUUUUGGCUAUGCACAGUUGAUGUCUAAGU
Non-coding RNA from Aegilops tauschii subsp. strangulata, 4058 nucleotides. The record is from RefSeq and is a predicted model, not a curated record. NCBI's taxonomy places the organism in Eukaryota, Viridiplantae, Streptophyta, Magnoliopsida, Poales, Poaceae.